UGUCCCUAGUACGAGAGGACCGGGACGGACGAACCUCUGGUGUGCCAGUCGUUCUGCCAAGGGCGUGGCUGGUUGGCUAUGUUCGGGAGGGAUAACCGCUGAAAGCAUCUAAGCGGGAAGCCUGUUCCUAGAUGAGGUCUCCCACCCUUUGUGGGUUAAGGCCCCCAAGAGAUGAUUGGGUUGACAGGCCAGAUAUGGAAGCACUGUAAGGUGUGGAGUUGACUGGUGCUGAUAGGCCGAGGACUUGCUCAC
This 252-nucleotide ribosomal RNA is filed under the name Saccharopolyspora shandongensis. Its description in RNAcentral is "23S rRNA. Bacterial LSU". It matches the Rfam family "Bacterial large subunit ribosomal RNA", at positions 2673 to 2925 of the family's 2925-position model. Lineage: Bacteria; Bacillati; Actinomycetota; Actinomycetes; Pseudonocardiales; Pseudonocardiaceae. The record is from RNAcentral.